GAUGAACGCUGGCGGCGUGCCUAACACAUGCAAGUCGAGCGAUUCUCUUCGGAGAAGAGCGGCGGACGGGUGAGUAACGCGUGGGUAACCUGCCCUGUACACACGGAUAACAUACCGAAAGGUAUGCUAAUACGAGAUAAUAUACUUUUAUCGCAUGGUAGAAGUAUCAAAGCUUUUGCGGUACAGGAUGGACCCGCGUCUGAUUAGCUAGUUGGUAAGGUAACGGCUUACCAAGGCGACGAUCAGUAGCCGACCUGAGAGGGUGAUCGGCCACAUUGGAACUGAGACACGGUCCAAACUCCUACGGGAGGCAGCAGUGGGGAAUAUUGCACAAUGGGCGAAAGCCUGAUGCAGCAACGCCGCGUGAGCGAUGAAGGCCUUCGGGUCGUAAAGCUCUGUCCUCAAGGAAGAUAAUGACGGUACUUGAGGAGGAAGCCCCGGCCUAACUACGUGCCAGCAGCCGCGGUAAUAAGUCACGUCG
This 481-nucleotide ribosomal RNA is filed under the name uncultured bacterium. RNAcentral's name for it is "bacterial SSU rRNA". It matches the Rfam family "Bacterial small subunit ribosomal RNA", at positions 28 to 534 of the family's 1533-position model. The record is from RNAcentral.